Molecule: ribosomal RNA, 251 nt
Filed under: uncultured bacterium
Lineage: Bacteria
Description: partial 16S ribosomal RNA
Rfam family: Bacterial small subunit ribosomal RNA
Source: RNAcentral
UUAUUAAAGUGGCGGACGGGUAAGUAACGCGUGAGAAACUUGCCCAUAAGUAUGGAAUAACUGUUCGAAAGGACAGCUAAGACCGUAUAAGUUAUCGAAUCACAUGGUUUGAUAAUGAAAGCUUCGGCGCUUAUGGAGAGUCUCGCGUCCCAUUAGCUAGUUGGUAGGGUAAAGGCCUACCAAGGCCACGAUGGGUAGCCGGCCUGAGAGGGUGGACGGCCACAAGGGAACUGAGACACGGUCCUUACUCC